RNAcentral lists this long non-coding RNA (348 nucleotides) under Gallus gallus (chicken). RNAcentral describes it as "long non-coding RNA NONGGAT003842". Lineage: Eukaryota; Metazoa; Chordata; Aves; Galliformes; Phasianidae. The record is from RNAcentral.
AGCUGGCUGUGCUAUCACUGCUGGCAUGCUUGCCACUGCCAGCAGCUCAGAUCAGAUAGUGGACAGUUUCCCACUUCAGGAGACAGUAAAUUCUGCUGCUGCUCUUACCAUGGCACUAAUAAAGGACAGGAACCCUGAGCUGAUUGGCCAGCUUUUGGUAGCAUGAGGCCAUAAAUCAUUUGCAGCUUUUGGAAAUGUUUCUUUGUCAUCAUUCAUUCACCAAAGGAAGCCAAACACUACCAGCAGAACUACUGGAGAACAUCACAAAAUAGCAGAGCUGCAGUAAAACAAAAAGAAACUGGACUGUGAGUAAUGCUAUUGUAUAUCCAAACCAAACUUACAAUGGGA